This 492-nucleotide ribosomal RNA is filed under the name uncultured bacterium. RNAcentral describes it as "partial 16S ribosomal RNA". It matches the Rfam family "Bacterial small subunit ribosomal RNA", at positions 29 to 507 of the family's 1533-position model. The record is from RNAcentral.
AGUGAACGCUGGCGGUAGGCCUAACACAUGCAAGUCGAACGGCAGCACAGUAAGAGCUUGCCCUUACGGGUGGCGAGUGGCGGACGGGUGAGGAAUACAUCGGAAUCUACUUUUUCGUGGGGGAUAACGUAGGGAAACUUACGCUAAUACCGCAUACGACCUACGGGUGGAAGCAGGGGAUCUUCGGACCUUGCGCGAUUGAAUGAGCCGAUGUCGGAUUAGCUAGUUGGCGGGGUAAAGGCCCACCAAGGCGACGAUCCGUAGCUGGUCUGAGAGGAUGAUCAGCCACACUGGAACUGAGACACGGCCCAGACUCCUACGGGAGGCAGCAGUGGGGAAUAUUGGACAAUGGGCGCAAGCCUGAUCCAGCCAUACCGCGUGGGUGAAGAAGGCCUUCGGGUUGUAAAGCCCUUUUGUUGGGAAAGAAAAGCAGCAGGUUAAUACCCCGCUGUUCUGACGGUACCCAAAGAAUAAGCACCGGCUAACUUCGUG